RNAcentral lists this ribosomal RNA (915 nucleotides) under Stutzerimonas stutzeri. RNAcentral's name for it is "bacterial SSU rRNA". It matches the Rfam family "Bacterial small subunit ribosomal RNA", at positions 36 to 946 of the family's 1533-position model. The record is from RNAcentral. Lineage: Bacteria; Pseudomonadati; Pseudomonadota; Gammaproteobacteria; Pseudomonadales; Pseudomonadaceae.
CCCGAAGGGCGGCCUACCAUGCAAGUCGAGCGGAUGAGUGGGAGCUUGCUCCCUGAUUCAGCGGCGGACGGGUGAGUAAUGCCUAGGAAUCUGCCUGGUAGUGGGGGAUAACGUUUCGAAAGGAACGCUAAUACCGCAUACGUCCUACGGGAGAAAGUGGGGGAUCUUCGGACCUCACGCUAUCAGAUGAGCCUAGGUCGGAUUAGCUAGUUGGUGAGGUAAAGGCUCACCAAGGCGACGAUCCGUAACUGGUCUGAGAGGAUGAUCAGUCACACUGGAACUGAGACACGGUCCAGACUCCUACGGGAGGCAGCAGUGGGGAAUAUUGGACAAUGGGCGAAAGCCUGAUCCAGCCAUGCCGCGUGUGUGAAGAAGGUCUUCGGAUUGUAAAGCACUUUAAGUUGGGAGGAAGGGCAGUAAGUUAAUACCUUGCUGUUUUGACGUUACCAACAGAAUAAGCACCGGCUAACUUCGUGCCAGCAGCCGCGGUAAUACGAAGGGUGCAAGCGUUAAUCGGAAUUACUGGGCGUAAAGCGCGCGUAGGUGGUUCGUUAAGUUGGAUGUGAAAGCCCCGGGCUCAACCUGGGAACUGCAUCCAAAACUGGCGAGCUAGAGUAUGGCAGAGGGUGGUGGAAUUUCCUGUGUAGCGGUGAAAUGCGUAGAUAUAGGAAGGAACACCAGUGGCGAAGGCGACCACCUGGGCUAAUACUGACACUGAGGUGCGAAAGCGUGGGGAGCAAACAGGAUUAGAUACCCUGGUAGUCCACGCCGUAAACGAUGUCGACUAGCCCUUGGGAUCCUUGAGAUCUUAAUGGCGCAGCUAACCCAUUAAGUCGACCGCCUGGGGAGUACGGCCGCACGGUUAAAACUCAAAUGAAUUGACGGGGCCCCGCCCAACCCGGUGAACAUGUGUUU